GGGGGACGCGUUCACAGGAUCGCGAUCCGCGCGUGCGACGGGCCGGAUCGUUAAGAGUCACCGUCCGCUGGCGCGGCGUCUUCCCUGCCCCUCGGGUAGCGCAGCGUGAGAACCAAAGAGCGGGAUACGUACGUAGAUCCUGAAGUCUAGGACUUGCGGACGGGGGUUCGAUUCCCCCCGCCUCCACCA
RNAcentral lists this transfer-messenger RNA (189 nucleotides) under Gammaproteobacteria bacterium. RNAcentral's name for it is "partial transfer-messenger RNA". It matches the Rfam family "transfer-messenger RNA", at positions 181 to 374 of the family's 374-position model. Rfam says of the family: Bacterial tmRNA, also known as 10Sa RNA or SsrA, is named for its dual tRNA and mRNA-like properties. Its role is to liberate the mRNA from a stalled ribosome. To accomplish this part of the tmRNA is used as a reading frame that ends in a translation stop signal. Lineage: Bacteria; Pseudomonadati; Pseudomonadota; Gammaproteobacteria. The record is from RNAcentral.